UACGGAGGAUCCAAGCGUUAUCCGGAUUUAUUGGGUUUAAAGGGUGCGUAGGCGGUUCUUUAAGUCAGGGGUGAAAGACGGUAGCUUAACUAUCGCAGUGCCUUUGAUACUGAAGAACUUGAAUACACUUGAGGUAGGCGGAAUGUGACAAGUAGCGGUGAAAUGCAUAGAUAUGUCACAGAACACCAAUUGCGAAGGCAGCUUACUAAAGUGUCAUUGACGCUGAGGCACGAAAGCGUGGGGAU
Molecule: ribosomal RNA, 245 nt
Filed under: uncultured Mucilaginibacter sp.
Lineage: Bacteria; Pseudomonadati; Bacteroidota; Sphingobacteriia; Sphingobacteriales; Sphingobacteriaceae
Description: partial 16S ribosomal RNA
Rfam family: Bacterial small subunit ribosomal RNA
Source: RNAcentral